GAUGAACGCUGGCGGCGUGCCUAAUACAUGCAAGUCGAACGCUGGAAAUCUAGCUUGCUAGAUUGAAGGAGUGGCGAACGGGUGAGUAAUACAUAAGCAACCUACCCACGAAGACUGGGAUAAUCUCUGGAAACGGGGACUAAUACCGGAUAGGUAAUCGGAAGGCAUCUUCUGAUUAUUAAAGGUUAAAAACACUGGUGGAUAGGCUUAUGGCGCAUUAGUUAGUUGGUGAGGUAACGGCCCACCAAGACGAUGAUGCGUAGCCGGCCUGAGAGGGUGAACGGCGACAUUGGGACUGAGACACGGCCCAGACGCCUACGGGAGGCAGCAGUAGGGAAUUUUCGGCAAUGGGGGAAACCCUGACCGAGCAACGCCGCGUGAGUGAUGACGGCCUUCGGGUUGUAAAGCUCUGUUGUAAGGGAAGAACGGUAGAUAGAGAAUAUCUAAAUGACGGUACCUUACCAGAAAGCCACGGCUAACUACGUG
Molecule: ribosomal RNA, 486 nt
Filed under: uncultured bacterium
Lineage: Bacteria
Description: partial 16S ribosomal RNA
Rfam family: Bacterial small subunit ribosomal RNA
Source: RNAcentral